GUUAAAAAACCUGAAUAUCCAACAGCAUCACACCAACUAAAGAAAUACUGG
This 51-nucleotide long non-coding RNA is filed under the name Pongo abelii (Sumatran orangutan). RNAcentral's name for it is "lincRNA". The record is from RNAcentral. Lineage: Eukaryota; Metazoa; Chordata; Mammalia; Primates; Hominidae.